RNAcentral lists this ribosomal RNA (497 nucleotides) under uncultured bacterium. RNAcentral describes it as "partial 16S ribosomal RNA". It matches the Rfam family "Bacterial small subunit ribosomal RNA", at positions 28 to 507 of the family's 1533-position model. The record is from RNAcentral.
GAUGAACGCUGGCGGCGUGCCUAAUACAUGCAAGUCGAGCGAACAGACGAGGAGCUUGCUCCUCUGACGUUAGCGGCGGACGGGUGAGUAACACGUGGAUCACCUACUUAUAAUACUGGGAUAACUUCGGGAAACCGGAGCUAAUACCGGAUAACAUGUUGAACCGCAUGGUUCAACAGUGAAAGACGGUCUUGCUGUCACUUAUAGAUGGAUCCGCGCCGGAUUAGCUAGUUGGUAAGGUAACGGCUUACCAAGGCAACGAUGCGUAGCCGACCUGAGAGGGUGAUCGGCCACACUGGAACUGAGACACGGUCCAGACUCCUACGGGAGGCAGCAGUAGGGAAUCUUCCGCAAUGGGCGAAAGCCUGACGGAGCAACGCCGCGUGAGUGAUGAAGGUCUUCGGAUCGUAAAGCUCUGUUAUUAGGGAAGAACAAAUGUGUAAGUAACUAUGCACGUCUUGACGGUACCUAAUCAGAAAGCCACGGCUAACUACGUG